UACGUAGGUGGCAAGCGUUGUCCGGAUUUAUUGGGUUUAAAGGGUGCGUAGGCGGCUUGAUAAGUCAGUGGUGAAAGCCGAUCGCUUAACGAUCGAAUUGCCAUUGAUACUGCCAGGCUUGAGUACAGUUGAGGUAGGCGGAAUUGACAGUGUAGCGGUGAAAUGCAUAGAUAUUGUCAAGAACACCAAUUGCGAAGGCAGCUUACUAAAGUGUAACUGACGCUGAGGCACGAAAGUGCGGGGAUCAAACAGG
RNAcentral lists this ribosomal RNA (253 nucleotides) under uncultured bacterium. RNAcentral's name for it is "partial 16S ribosomal RNA". It matches the Rfam family "Bacterial small subunit ribosomal RNA", at positions 524 to 776 of the family's 1533-position model. RNAcentral also lists the same sequence under 1 other name. The record is from RNAcentral.